Molecule: ribosomal RNA, 408 nt
Filed under: uncultured bacterium
Lineage: Bacteria
Description: partial 16S ribosomal RNA
Rfam family: Bacterial small subunit ribosomal RNA
Source: RNAcentral
GACGAACGCUGGCGGCGUGCUUAACACAUGCAAGUCGAACGAAGUGGCGAACGGGUGAGUAACGCGUAAUCCACCUGCCCUUCAGUGGGGGACAACAGUUGGAACCGACUCCUAAUACCGCAUACUGAAGGAGGGGAUUGCGGCUGAUUAGCUAGUUGGAGGGGUAACGGGCCAACAAGGCGAUGAUCAGGAGCCGGUCUUGGGAGAUGGACGGCCACAUUGGGACUGGAGACCGGGCCAAGCUCCCACGGGGGGCAGCAGUGGGGGAACUUUCGAAAUGGGGGAAAGUCCGGCGGAAGCACGCCGCGGGGGUGAUGACGGGCUUCGGGUUGUAAAACUCUGUUAAGCAGGACGCGGUACCGGAAUAGAAAGCAACGGCUAACUACGUGCCAGCAGCCGCGGUAAUUC